AUUGAACGCUGGCGGAAUGCUUUACACAUGCAAGUCGAGCGGCAGCGCGGGGCAACCUGGCGGCGAGCGGCGAACGGGUGAGUAAUACAUCGGAACGUACCCAGUCGUGGGGGAUAACACAGCGAAAGUUGUGCUAAUACCGCAUACGACCUGAGGGUGAAAGUGGGGGACCGCAAGGCCUCACGCGAUUGGAGCGGCCGAUGGCGGAUUAGCUAGUUGGUGAGGGAAAGGCCCCCCAAGGCGACGAUCCGUAGCGGGUCUGAGAGGACGGCCCGCCACACUGGAACUGAGACACGGUCCAGACUCCUACGGGAGGCAGCAGUGGGGAAUUUUGGACAAUGGGGGAAACCCUGAUCCAGCCAUUCCGCGUGAGUGAAGAAGGCCUUCGGGUUGUAAAGCUCUUUCGGCAGGAACGAAACGGUCGUCGCUAACAUCGAUGGCUAAUGACGGUACCUGAAGAAGAAGCACCGGCUAACUACGUGCCAGCCGCCGCCGUAA
This 498-nucleotide ribosomal RNA is filed under the name uncultured bacterium. RNAcentral describes it as "partial 16S ribosomal RNA". It matches the Rfam family "Bacterial small subunit ribosomal RNA", at positions 29 to 523 of the family's 1533-position model. The record is from RNAcentral.